CCCUUUGGGGUGUGACUGCGUACCUUUUGUAUAAUGGGUCAGCGACUUAUAUUCUGUAGCAAGGUUAACCGUAUAGGGGAGCCGGAGGGAAACCGAGUCUUAACCGGGCGUUAAGUUGCAGGGUAUAGACCCGAAACCCGGUGAUCUAGCCAUGGGCAGGUUGAAGGUUGGGUAACACUAACUGGAGGACCGAACCGACUAAUGUUGAAAAAUUAGCGGAUGACCUGUGGCUGGGGGUGAAAGGCCAAUCAAACCGGGAGAUAGCUGGUUCUCCCCGAAAGCUAUUUAGGUAGCGCCUCGUGAAUUCAUCUCCGGGGGUAGAGCACUGUUUCGGCUAGGGGGCCAUCCCGGCUUACCAACCCGAUGCAAACUGCGAAUACCGGAGAAUGUUAUCACGGGAGACACACGGCGGGUGCUAACGUCCGUCGUGAAGAGGGAAACAACCCAGACCGCCAGCUAAGGUCCCAAAGUCAUGGUUAAGUGGGAAACGAUGUGGGAAGGCCCAGACAGCCAGGAUGUUGGCUUAGAAGCAGCCAUCAUUUAAAGAAAGCGUAAUAGCUCACUGGUCGAGUCGGCCUGCGCGGAAGAUGUAACGGGGCUAAACCAUGCACCGAAGCUGCGGCAGCGAACGUAUCACUUAAAGCGAUUCAGCGGGUUACGAUUGACGGAGCGAAGCGACGUCAAAGCGUAUACAAAGUCGAGUCGGUUUAAGGAUACGUUCGUUGGGUAGGGGAGCGUUCUGUAAGCCUGUGAAGGUGGCCUGUGAGGGUUGCUGGAGGUAUCAGAAGUGCGAAUGCUGACAUAAGUAACG
This 811-nucleotide ribosomal RNA is filed under the name Salmonella enterica subsp. enterica serovar Mikawasima. RNAcentral's name for it is "partial 23S ribosomal RNA". It matches the Rfam family "Bacterial large subunit ribosomal RNA", at positions 582 to 1311 of the family's 2925-position model. Lineage: Bacteria; Pseudomonadati; Pseudomonadota; Gammaproteobacteria; Enterobacterales; Enterobacteriaceae. The record is from RNAcentral.